UAUUGUAUUAAUUGUGUAUAGGUAAUCAAGGAUGAUCCCAAGUUAUACUUGCCUUAAAUACUUGUACAACUCUCACAUCAUCAGCUUUUAGUCAUCACCUUGAUCUUCAGCACUCUCAAGCAGUUAUCGUCUACUCGCAGAUCGUAACAACCGAGCACACCAACAAACAUACAAACAACAAAUAGAAACAAUUAAGAACAACACACCAGACGAGGUUAAGCAACAUUCUAAAGGAGAGCUCGCUGUUAUGAUCAUGAGAGCGUAAGAAAACACUGAGAACAAGUCUAGUUCUAUAUUAUUUCAUUAUUCUAUUUUAUAAAAGAGAAACCUACAUCCUUGAUUUAUUUUGACUUAGCAAAACCAUAAGAAGCAUGUUAAUUUAGAUUACACAAAUUAUAUCCUAGUUUAGAAACUGAGCUAAAACUAAUCAACAUUUAUCUAUAAAUAUCGUCAUAUUAUAGAUUAAACAAGUUGAACAAAAUCGUGACGAAAUAUAUUUUAAUUACAAAUAAUUAUAUAUCAAUCAAGCCAUUUAAGCAUUUAUAAUUUAGAAAGCAUAAAGUAAAUGAGAACAACUAAUUGAAUCAUAAUUGAAUCAUCAUGUGUUGAGGUUCAUCUAAGCAGAUCAUAUUUCAAAGGGCAUUAAUGUUGGUAUUAUUCAUAUUAAUAUUCUUUAUUAAGUCCAAGCUUAUAUAUCUGGAUCACUUUUAAUUGAAGAUAUUAAAUAAAUAUUAAUUAUAUUACAUCUAGAUUGACUUUAUAUAAAUCAUGCUUCAACUAGGAUACCUAUAAUUUAAUAAAUACAUAUACAUAUUUAAGUUAACAAGCAAUUAUAAAAAUGUCGAACAUAAACCUAAAUUACUUUUAAUUAAUUAGAAAAGACACUAAACAAAACAGUAAUCCAAUUAAUUAUAUUCACAUGAGACAUGGAAAAUAAUGUUCCUAACAUGUUGCUUAAGUCGCCUUGAUCGUAAAGCAAUAAACAAAAUUAUAACUUUGCGUCGCUUCUAAUUAUAAAUUAGUUGCAUAGGUUAAUUAAUUUAAUAAUCACUAUAUAUAUAAAAAUAUGUGGUAUGAAAGACAUUGUUACUACUAUAUAGAGCACAUCGACAUGAAUCUAACGCAACUUGAACCGCUAAAAACGGACAUAGAACAAAUAAACAACAGGGAUUAAACAAACAGUGGCAACACUAUAAUUAAGUCGUCUUCUACCUUGGUCUGUUCUGCAGCAGUUCGUGACCUCCCUGGCCACUGCUGCUGCCGUUCGUGCAGAGGAGAAGGAGAGCUCCGUCAUGGGCUCAGCCAACAGGUUUGGUAGCACAAAAUCAUGCAGCGCAGGAGCCCACGCGGCUGAGCAGGGCCGGCUCGGCACCCAGCCAUGGCCGAGCGACCACUGAUGGCGGCGGCGCUGCUGGAUAUAAUAUACAAGAGCUCUCAUUAGGCUUGGGCCUGGCGCACUCAUCCCAGAGUGGAUGAACGAAGACCUCACCUAGGACGUUCCAACGAUGGAGACGCCUACGAUGAUGGUGUACGGCUCGGUGAGACGACGGUGGCGGCUUUGACCUCGCGUCGGCGAGAUUGGAAAUAAACGGCAGCGGCGAUAGGCCAGUGUAGCUAACAUCGGUUGAAUAGGUCACCAACAUAUAUUUAUAUGCAUUGUGGCCGAGUUGGAUUAGGUUUAGGAUUAAUUAUUUUUCAAAAUUCAUUAAUUUCAGAAAUAAAGUAAUUUUAGGAAAUAAAAAUAGAAUUACUUUUUAAGCCAUGAAAAAAUAUUUCGAAAGCUCCGUAAAUUUAGAAAAAUUUAAAGAAUGAUAUAUUUCAUAUAACUAAUUGACAAUAUUUUUUUAAACUGACAUUAGAAAUUUUUAUCCAAAUAUCAAAAUAUUUAUUUUAAGUAGUGUUUUCUAUGCACAACCCAAAGUUGAAAUUUUUGGGGUGUGACAG
Molecule: long non-coding RNA, 1944 nt
Filed under: Sorghum bicolor (sorghum)
Lineage: Eukaryota; Viridiplantae; Streptophyta; Magnoliopsida; Poales; Poaceae
Description: long non-coding RNA (SBIC_LNC011042)
Source: RNAcentral